Molecule: ribosomal RNA, 870 nt
Filed under: Lecythothecium duriligni
Lineage: Eukaryota; Fungi; Ascomycota; Sordariomycetes; Chaetosphaeriales; Chaetosphaeriaceae
Description: LSU rRNA
Rfam family: Eukaryotic large subunit ribosomal RNA
Source: RNAcentral
UGCCCCAGUAACGGCGAGUGAAGCGGCAACAGCUCAAAUUUGAAAUCUGGCCCCCGGCCCGAGUUGUACUUUGCAAAGGAUGCUUCUGGCGCGGUGCCUUCCAAGUCCCCUGGAACGGGGCGCCGGAGAGGGUGAGAGCCCCGUACGGUCGGCCGCCAAGCCUGUGUGAAGCUCCUUCGACGAGUCGAGUAGUUUGGGAAUGCUGCUCUAAGCGGGAGGUAGACCCCUUCUAAAGCUAAAUACCGGCCAGAGACCGAUAGCGCACAAGUAGAGUGAUCGAAAGAUGAAAAGCACUUUGAAAAGAGGGUUAAACAGCACGUGAAAUUGUUGAAAGGGAAGCGCUCGUGCCCAGACGUGCGCUGGGGCGAUCAUCCGGCGUUNCGCCGGUGCANNCGCCCCGGCGCAGGCCAGCGUCGGCUCGGGUGGGGGGACAAAGGCGUCUGGAACGUGGCCCUCCGGGGGUGUUACAGCCAGGCGCGCCAUGCUCCGCCCGGGCCGAGGUCCGCGCUCUGCAAGGACGCUGGCGUAAUGGGCACCGGCGGCCCGUCUUGAAACACGGACCAAGGAGUCGAGGUCUUGCGCGAGUGUCUGGGUGCCAAACCCGCACGCGCAAUGAAAGUGAACGCAGGUGGGAGCUUCGGCGCACCACCGACCGAUCCUGAUGUUCUCGGAUGGAUUUGAGUAGGAGCGUGGGGCCUCGGACCCGAAAGAUGGUGAACUAUGCUUGGAUAGGGUGAAGCCAGAGGAAACUCUGGUGGAGGCUCGCAGCGGUUCUGACGUGCAAAUCGAUCGUCAAAUCUGAGCAUGGGGGCGAAAGACUAAUCGAACCAUCUAGUAGCUGGUUACCGCCGAAGUUUCCCUCAGGAUAGC